CCUACGGGGGGCAGCAGUGAGGAAUAUUGGUCAAUGGGCUAAGGCCUGAACCAGCCAAGUCGCGUGAGGGAAGACGGUCCUAUGGAUUGUAAACCUCUUUUGUCGGGGAGCAACGAGGCCACGUGUGGCCGAAGUGAGAGUACCUGAAGAAAAAGCAUCGGCUAACUCCGUGCCAGCAGCCGCGGUAAUACGGAGGAUGCGAGCGUUAUCCGGAUUUAUUGGGUUUAAAGGGUGCGUAGGCGGGUUAUCAAGUCAGCGGUAAAAUCGUGGAGCUCAACUCCAUCCAGCCGUUGAAACUGAUGAUCUUGAGUGGGCGAGAAGUAUGCGGAAUGCGUGGUGUAGCGGUGAAAUGCAUAGAUAUCACGCAGAACUCCGAUUGCGAAGGCAGCAUACCGGCGCCCGACUGACGCUGAAGCACGAAAGCGUGGGUAUCGAACAGGAUUAGAUACCCUUGUAGUC
Molecule: ribosomal RNA, 459 nt
Filed under: uncultured bacterium
Lineage: Bacteria
Description: partial 16S ribosomal RNA
Rfam family: Bacterial small subunit ribosomal RNA
Source: RNAcentral